RNAcentral lists this ribosomal RNA (520 nucleotides) under uncultured Glomeromycotina. RNAcentral's name for it is "SSU rRNA". It matches the Rfam family "Eukaryotic small subunit ribosomal RNA", at positions 569 to 1093 of the family's 1831-position model. The record is from RNAcentral. Lineage: Eukaryota; Fungi; Glomeromycota.
AGCAGCCGCGGUAAUUCCAGCUCCAAUAGCGUAUAUUAAAGUUGUUGCAGUUAAAAAGCUCGUAGUUGAAUUUCGGGGUUCUACCGUUGGUCAGGCUAUUGUCUGUACUGGCGUGUAGAAUUUCUACCUUCUGGGGAACUAUCAUGUUAUUAAUUUAGCGUGGUAGGAAACCAGGACCUUUACCUUGAAAAAAAUUAGAGUGUUCAAAGCAGGCUUAUGUCUGAAUACAUUAGCAUGGAAUAAUAAAAUAGGACGGUGGCCCUGUUUUGUUGGUUUCUGAAUCACCGUAAUGAUUAAUAGGGAUAGUUGGGGGCAUUAGUAUUCAAUUGUCAGAGGUGAAAUUCUUGGAUUUAUUGAAGACUAACUACUGCGAAAGCAUUUGCCAAGGAUGUUUUCAUUAAUCAAGAACGAAAGUUAGGGGAUCGAAGACGAUCAGAUACCGUCGUAGUCUUAACCAUAAACUAUGCCGACUAGGGAUCGGACGAUGUUAACUUUCUUGUACUCGUUCGGCGCCUUACGG